RNAcentral lists this unclassified non-coding RNA (222 nucleotides) under soil metagenome. RNAcentral describes it as "partial contains small subunit ribosomal RNA, internal transcribed spacer 1, and 5.8S ribosomal RNA". The record is from RNAcentral.
UUUCCGUAGGUGAACCUGCGGAAGGAUCAUUAUUGAAAUCAAUUCUGAUAAGUUGCUGCUGGCUCUCUAGGGAGCAUGUGCACACUUGUCAUCUUUGUAUCUUCACCUGUGCACCUUUUGUAGACUCUUGUCUAUGUUGCUUCAUUUGCCCCAAUGUAUGUUAAUAGAAUGUUUGUCCCUAUAAAAUAUAUACAACUUUCAGCAACGGAUCUCUUGGCUCUC